Molecule: ribosomal RNA, 253 nt
Filed under: uncultured bacterium
Lineage: Bacteria
Description: partial 16S ribosomal RNA
Rfam family: Bacterial small subunit ribosomal RNA
Source: RNAcentral
UACGUAGGGGGCGAGCGUUGUCCGGAGUUACUGGGCGUAAAGCGCACGCAGGCGGUCUGCUAAGUUUGGAGUGACAGUUGGUGGCUUAACUGCCAAAGUGCUUCGAAAACUGACAGACUUGAGGGCUUCAGAGGGACACGGAAUUCCGGGUGGAGUGGUGAAAUGCGUAGAGAUCCGGAGGAACGCCAAAGGCGAAGGCAGUGUCCUGGGGAGUACCUGACGCUCAGGUGCGAAAGCCAGGGGAGCGAACGGG